Molecule: transfer RNA, 75 nt
Filed under: Geodermatophilaceae bacterium
Lineage: Bacteria; Bacillati; Actinomycetota; Actinomycetes; Geodermatophilales; Geodermatophilaceae
Also listed under: 2 other names
Description: tRNA-Val
Rfam family: tRNA
About the family: Transfer RNA (tRNA) molecules are approximately 80 nucleotides in length. Their secondary structure includes four short double-helical elements and three loops (D, anti-codon, and T loops). Further hydrogen bonds mediate the characteristic L-shaped molecular structure. tRNAs have two regions of fundamental functional importance: the anti-codon, which is responsible for specific mRNA codon recognition, and the 3' end, to which the tRNAs corresponding amino acid is attached (by aminoacyl-tRNA synthetases). tRNAs cope with the degeneracy of the genetic code in two manners: having more than one tRNA (with a specific anti-codon) for a particular amino acid; and 'wobble' base-pairing, i.e. permitting non-standard base-pairing at the 3rd anti-codon position.
Source: RNAcentral
GGGCGGUUGGCGCAGCGGUAGCGCGCUUCCCUGACACGGAAGAGGUCACUGGUUCGAUCCCAGUACCGCCCACCA